CCUACGGGUGGCAGCAGUAGGGAAUCUUCCACAAUGGGCGAAAGCCUGAUGGAGCAACGCCGCGUGGGUGAAGAAGGUCUUCGGAUCGUAAAACCCUGUUGUUAGAGACGAAAGUGCGGGAGAGUAACGGUUCACGUUUCGACGGUAUCUAACCAGAAAGCCACGGCUAACUACGUGCCAGCAGCCGCGGUAAUACGUAGGUGGCAAGCGUUAUCCGGGUUGAUUGGGCGUAAGGGGAACGCAGGCGGUCUUUUAAGUCUGAUGUGAAAGUCUUCGGCUUAACCGGAGUAGUGCAUUGGAAACUGGGAGUCUUGAGGGCAGAAGAGGAGAGUGGAACUCCAUGUGUAGCGGUGAAAUGCGUAGAUAUUUGGAAGAACACCAGUGGCGAAAGCGGCUCUCUGGUCUGUAACUGACGCUGAGGUUCGAAAGCGUGGGUAGCAAACAGGAUUAGAUACCCGGGUAGUC
Molecule: ribosomal RNA, 465 nt
Filed under: uncultured bacterium
Lineage: Bacteria
Description: partial 16S ribosomal RNA
Rfam family: Bacterial small subunit ribosomal RNA
Source: RNAcentral